This 253-nucleotide ribosomal RNA is filed under the name uncultured bacterium. Its description in RNAcentral is "partial 16S ribosomal RNA". It matches the Rfam family "Bacterial small subunit ribosomal RNA", at positions 524 to 776 of the family's 1533-position model. The record is from RNAcentral.
UACGGGGGGGGCAAGCGUUGUUCGGAAUUACUGGGCGUAAAGGGCUCGUAGGCGGCCAACUAAGUCAGACGUGAAAUCCCCCGGCUUAACCGGGGAAUGGCAUCUGAUACUGGAUGGCUGGAGUUUGGGAGAGGGAUGCGGAAUUCCAGGUGUAGCGGUGAAAUGCGUAGAUAUCUGGAGGAACACCGGUGGCGAAGGCGGCAUCCUGGACCAACACUGACGCUGAUGAGCGAAAGCCAGGGGAGCAAACGGG